RNAcentral lists this long non-coding RNA (1244 nucleotides) under Equus caballus (horse). RNAcentral's name for it is "lncRNA (ENSECAG00000055429.1)". The record is from RNAcentral. Lineage: Eukaryota; Metazoa; Chordata; Mammalia; Perissodactyla; Equidae.
UGCUGUUUCACCUGCUUUUGUGGUUGAGUUUGGGGUACCAUAAGCUUUUAAAAGGCCUUGUUUCGGUGGUUUCUUUGUCAUUAGCUGGCCUUUCCUCUCUUUUAUUUCUGGACCCUAAAGGUGGAGUCCCUGGGGAACCUCAGACGGCUGGACCAACACUAGCUUGAAAGAGAUGCCACUUCCUUCUUCACGUCAUUGAACUGGGAGUCCCAGCAAUAGAAUGAUGAAAUAAAGAGGCUCAGAAUACUGGAGCAAAACAAAGAUUAGAGUCAUUCAACUUAAACCCUGUGUUUUACCUCUCAGAGAAGAGGACACAGAGGUCCUAAGGGAAUCCAGAGCCACAGGCAGAAAGAGCCUGGUUCCCUGAAUCACUGCAUGAAGGAAAGCCAGAGCUGCCAAACGGGAACAGUACCCUGGACUUGUACGUGAAUAGGAAAUGAACUUCUGUUGAGUUGCAGGUCUUUCUAACUGUGCUAUGUGGGAUGCAGCCUCAGCAUGGCUUGACGAGCGGUGCUAGGUCCACGCCAAGGAUCCAAACCCACGAACCCCUGGGCCACGAGGGUGGAGCACACAAACUUAACCAUUCAACCAUGGUCCCAAGAGAAGACCUAGGAAGUCUUUCUGGAAAAGCCUAGAAAACUUCAGCAAGCUCCCCAUUGCUCUCAGUUAAGUACUGGAUAGAUAAUUCUGUAGCCAAUUUAUCACACAGGCAUUUUGGGGGCACAGUUGGUGAUUGGUGGGGUGGCCAUCCUUGCUCAGCUACAAUGAGCUUGCUUUCUAUUUGUGGGUUUCUCAUACUUAUCAGAAUAAAUCCAUACUCAACAAGUUGAGGAACUCGAUACAGGGGGCACUGCUUGACCAUUUUUAAGGUUUAUCUGCAGGAAGAGUUUAUGAUAGAUUGAAUGCACAAAGGGCCUUUGUUUUCCAUGCAUCUUUGUGUCCACCCCUUUGCAAUGUGACCUUGCAGCUCCCUCCUCACUCCUUGACUCUGGGCUGGCCUUGAAACUUGCCUUGGACAGUUGAAUGAGAGGAAAGUGACAAUGUGCCAGUGCCUUGCAUGCUUCUGCUCUGUCUUGGCCCCUAAGUGAAGGAACUUAGCUACCCUGAUGGAGAUUGAGAGACUGUGUAGAGAAAAGUUCAGUUGACCCAAGUGAAGCCAUCUUAGAUCAACCUACAGUAAGAUGACCCCGCAUAUGUGAGACUGUCCAGCCAAGAUCAGCAAAUCAUCUCACCUGAUCAUGGAU